This 500-nucleotide ribosomal RNA is filed under the name Lacticaseibacillus casei. RNAcentral describes it as "bacterial SSU rRNA". It matches the Rfam family "Bacterial small subunit ribosomal RNA", at positions 78 to 563 of the family's 1533-position model. The record is from RNAcentral. Lineage: Bacteria; Bacillati; Bacillota; Bacilli; Lactobacillales; Lactobacillaceae.
GAUUACAACAUGGAACGAGUGGCGGACGGGUGAGUAACACGUGGGUAACCUGCCCUUAAGUGGGGGAUAACAUUUGGAAACAGAUGCUAAUACCGCAUAGAUCCAAGAACCGCAUGGUUCUUGGCUGAAAGAUGGCGUAAGCUAUCGCUUUUGGAUGGACCCGCGGCGUAUUAGCUAGUUGGUGAGGUAAUGGCUCACCAAGGCGAUGAUACGUAGCCGAACUGAGAGGUUGAUCGGCCACAUUGGGACUGAGACACGGCCCAAACUCCUACGGGAGGCAGCAGUAGGGAAUCUUCCACAAUGGACGCAAGUCUGAUGGAGCAACGCCGCGUGAGUGAAGAAGGCUUUCGGGUCGUAAAACUCUGUUGUUGGAGAAGAAUGGUCGGCAGAGUAACUGUUGUCGGCGUGACGGUAUCCAACCAGAAAGCCACGGCUAACUACGUGCCAGCAGCCGCGGUAAUACGUAGGUGGCAAGCGUUAUCCGGAUUUAUUGGGCGUAA